Neocloeon triangulifer is the source of this 4813-nucleotide RNA transcript. It is a transcript of the gene named membrane protein BRI3, with no coding region annotated. NCBI's taxonomy places the organism in Eukaryota, Metazoa, Arthropoda, Insecta, Ephemeroptera, Baetidae. The transcript is spliced from 17 exons. The record is from RefSeq and is a predicted model, not a curated record.
UUUGGGUGUUUGGAUUUCUUUGAAAAUGGCGGCGGUGCAUGAAUAAUUUGCCGUGUUCUGCAUUGAAUUAACUUAAUGUGCGUGUUUUUCGCAACAAUUCGGGUCUCCGAGGGCACAGGCGGCUUUCCUGGACAGUGCUGGAUUCGGACGGAGGCCGAAUUUGUCCACGGCGGAGGAUGUUCUAUCCUUUGAAGGCGUGCGAGUUGGUGCCGCGGGACGUGUUCGUACCGGCGAGUCGGAUGCCGUCCGCGUGGGAUGGCGAGCUCGGAUGGCACUCGGGAAACGGCUUGGCGUCCGUGAUGGACGGCCUCUCGGAAUGCGGGAGCGGCUGAAGUCGUCGGCUGCCGAAUCAUCCGGCGCGAAGGUCGGCAAGUCGUCGUCGUUGUCGACCGUCGGAGGCAGAAGAGAACGAGUUGCUGACUGACUCAAAUAGCCUGGAGACGAAGUUGGUUCCAUUGUCGGUGAUGAGGCCCUCGACUGCUCCAUAGCGGCAAACUACGGUCUCGACAAAAGCUCGUGCCACUGAUUCUGCUGUUUGAUCUUCUAGAGGAGCCGCUUCUACAUAUUUGGCAAAGGUCCUACAAUAUCGGCAUACCAAAGUUCUCCAACUCUGACUGCCGUCUUUUGUAUCUGCUGAGGGGCAUGAAGUAGCUGGUUCUGUUUUCUAUACUGGCAUUCGACGCAGUUAUGAAGGUGGUCUGAUAUCGACUGAUCCAUCUUCGGCCAGUAGUACCUUUUGAACGUCUAUUUCUGGCCUGGAGAGAAAAUCUACUCGCUGGACUGUUUUUCCUGGGGCGUGGUGGACCACAAAAUCAAACUGCUGCAGUUGGAGAAUCCAUCUUCCAAGCAUAGGUGGAAUAAGUUUCCUUCCAGGUACACCCUGAAGUGUUCAACUGCUGCAACGACGGCGAGACAUUCGAGUUGACAGGCUGAGUAGGCCUGUUGUGCGCCUGCCAGUUUUUUGCUGAAGAACGCAACUGGUCGUCGCUCUUCGUCGGUGUCCCCCUGUUCUAAGACAGCUGCGACAGCUUUCGCACUUGCGUCUGUUGUGAGGUGAAACGGCUUGGUGAGGUCUGGGAAAGCCGUUGUCACCAUAUUUUCCAGUGCCUGAAGCAGGUUUUGGACGUCUGUGAGAGGAGCGACUAUCUCGCUGUAUGAUGUUUUUGGCUGUCCUCUGUCCUUGAUGGCUUUCACUUUGUCUGGAUUUGGGUGCACACCGUGUUCGUCGAUGAUGAAACCCAAAAAUUCUACUUGAGUUUUUAUUAGCUGACAUUUGGCUGGGCCAAAUUUCAAACCCAAGUGGAUUGCUCGUUGAAACGUUUCGUCCAGUAAGCUGAUCAGCAUAAGAAUUGUACUCUUGUGGGACGCUUUCUAAGUUGAACAGAGCAAGGAAUUGAUCGUCAUCCAUUGGAGGUCCAGGAGUGUCCGGCCAGACCGGAGGUUCUCUUACAUCAGAUGGCUUGGUUUUCUGCAUACAGUUUUGGCACAGCAUGUACUCUUCGUCAGCGAUGCCCGCCGUUCCACAAUCAAAACAUUUUUCUUUUCGCACUUCGAGUUUUUGAAGAUGGCUGGAGGUUAACUGGAUGGGUUCAUCACUUGAAUUUAUAAACAGAACCUGGACGUAACCAUCUUCUUGAACUACAGAAAGAGUUGCUGGAAGUUCUUCAUGUUUUUCUUCUGUGAAAAGAUCAAUGCCCUGAAUGGUUUGUCGGGUCUGAAGUUCUGUCGGUGGAAUGGGAGCUUUUUACUAGUUUUAUUCGUCCAUCUGGCAUAACCUCUAUCAGCUCUUCGUAUUUUGCCACCAUUAGAAACUGUUAUGCAGUUUGCUGCUUGAGGUGUGAGAAGUAGGAGUUUGACUUUUCCCCAAUGGAAGCCUAAUGAGUCCUCCGAAACCAUUUCAACGACUACAAAUGAGUGGACGUAAUAGUGGUCGUCUAUUUUGAUUUCAACGUCUGCUUGUCCCAAGACUUUAAUUUGGCUUCCAUUUGCUGAACCAACUCUAUGUUGAAACGGAAUUAGUUGAAGGUUGAGUCUAUCAGCUAUCUUUUUUGUUAACAAGCUGACAUUUGCUCCGGAAUCAAUCAAAAGGCUUGGUAGUUUCUUUUGCUGGCUUCAGUCUGCUACGUUUUUGCUGAUUUGCUGAUUCGCAGUCUGUUGAUGAAUCUGUUUCUGAUGAAUUUGUAUCUGACGAAUUUGUAUCUGAUGAAUUCUCAUCACUGGUCUGAACUCCUACGCUGAUUUUAUACGGAGGUGGUGGAAGUUUAUUUAUUUCUCUUGUUUAGCUGGCUCCUCUAAUUCAUGUUUUUUGUUUUCGCAGGACAGUCAUAUGGGCAAUGUCCCGGUUUCCGACAGUAGCCACAAAUGAGUUGAGGACAGUCGGCAACCCAGUGACCUUCCUCCCUGCAAAGAUUACAAAUCUUUGGUCGACUUGGUGAAGACGAGCGAGAUCUUGAGCGAGUUGAGUAGCGCCUGUCAUUGUAGGGAGAAUUCGGCCUCGAAUCUUGUCGACUGCUACGUUCUGGUCUUGUAGGUGGAGCAGGCUGCUUCGCAUUCACCAUGUUGGCCAUGUUGGUCAUGUUCCAGUACGCUGUGGCCAUGGCAUUUGGUUGAGGAGCCCAAUAAGGACUUUGUGUUUGUUGUGGAGGUACUUGGCCCAUGUACGGAGGCAUCAUCUGAUUGUAGGCUGGAUAAUGUGGCCCGUACAUUUGCGGUUGUGCAGAAGGAGGAGGUUGGGGCGCCCAUUCAUUUGUUUGCCACAAAUUUUGCAUCAUUUGUGUGGCAAUGUCCACUUGGUUUGUCAUUAUUGGAUGUUGAGGAGUUAUGUUUGCUUGCAUAUGUGCUGCCUUUGUGAUGUUUAAGGUUUCCUCUGCGGUGAGAGCUGCUUGACGCGCUUGGGCCAUUGAUUUUACAGUUUGUGGCCCCACGAUGAAGUACAGCUCAGGACGUAGACCUUCAAUGAAUUUCUUAAAACAACGUUGGUCCCAUAUAUUUUUAUCUCCUUCUGGCGUGACGCCCAUGGGGAUUGUUGUUCGUCGACGCAGUUUAGCAGCCUUGCUCUGAACGUUGUGGUAUUGCUUGUCACUAGUUGGAGGACGAAAUUCUGCUCGGAAAGCUUCUUUCAGAGAAUUGACGUUGGCCAGGACUGUGCCGUCUAAAGCACGGACAAAUUCUCGUGCUCGACCAGACGUUCGCAUUUCCAAGACCCACUUGGUGUCGUUUGGUUGGAGGCCAUUGUAAUUUAUGAGUCCUUCCACGGAGCACAAGAAGUCCUCAAGUGACGAACCGUCAGAACGGCCCGUGAAUCUUGGGAUCAUGUCGACUGAUAUCAUGGGUUUUAAUAAUUGGGCUAUUCCUAUUGCAGGUUGGAAUCCCAUCAUUCCUGGAGGGGGCUGCAGACCUGGGGGUGGUAGUCCACCAGGUGGAGGAGGCCCACCAGGAGGUGGAGGAGGCCCACCAGGAGGUGGAAGAGGUCCACCAGGAGGUGGUUGGCCACCAGGGGGUGGUUGGUUACCAGGAGGUGGUUGCCAACCAGGAGCUGUGAGGGAUGGGCCGAAGGGAGGAUUUAUCCAAGUGCUUUGUGUGAUGCUUCCUGUUAUAUUUGUUGCAGAAGUUACUGGUGCAGUCGACGUUGUUGUUGUCGUCGAUGCUGCUGUCGUCGUGGACGAGGAAGACAUUGUUGUUGACAUUGUGAAUUUGUUCUAUUUGUUUAUUGUCAGUACUUUGCCUGUGUGAACCAGGAUCGCCAAUUUGGUUAGGAAAAAUUUAAAAUUAAUUUAUUCCUAUUUUAUAAGAUUGGAGGCAAGAGGCUUUUGUUAAAUAAAGUACUGUUUUUUUUUUAGAAAACUUCCAAUUUAUAACUCGACUAUUUUCAGGAAAUAAAAGGAAUUAAACAAAAUAAUUUACUGCUGUGGGUUUGGUUAUAUUCCCUAUAAAUUGCACACUUCUAAAUAUUUGAGAUUUGAUUUAAUUUUCUGGGAAUACAGUCUUGGUUUUUCGGGAAGGGGUUGCAGAAAGGGCGCUCUUGAGCGGGGUCGUAGCUGUGGGCGGCGGCAGGCAGCAGGAACUAUUGCCUCAGAGGUGGCUGGUCAGCUGGCAGCAGCAACGGUCCGGACACCUGCGGAGGUGGUUGACUCGCAGCAGGACGUGAUGGUCGGACGGAUGGCAGCGGGCGGGACCAGGUCUUCUCCUGAGAGCCACGGCAAGGCAGGUCACCGUCUGGAGGGCCUGGAAAUUAGGGGAAUAGUGAGUAUGGGCUGGUUAUUGAUAAAAUGGUUGUUGUAUUUAAUGCAACAACACAGUCGGACUUAGUUUACCUGGGUGAAUUGCAGGCACGGGUGUGGAGGGUGACUUGUAGCAGCCGGGGUGGAGUGUCCGGGUUAGGCGCCGCUUCUGUCCGACGUCGCUGUCCGGUGAGAGGGUCCGCCCUAGAACAGUAUUGGGGCCAUCAGCUGACCGCAAAGGAACUAGAGGGCGUAUCUCUUACCGUCAAGGUUGGACGGGACAGGUGCAGCUCGGGAUCCUCUGGCGGGGGCACAACUGACCAGGGUGGAGGCAAGGGAGGCCGUCCGGUCGGCUGGGACGGAACGGUCUGCUUGUGGUCGAACCUGGGAACAAAGAGUUAACUUUUGAGUUCCUCCGUCAGCAGCAGUGGCAAGAGAGUCGCCUACCUAAUCGGUUGGUUUCUUGGAAGAUGAUUACACCUGUCUUGGAAUACUGCUCGCUAUCCUCUUUUUCCCCUUUGGAAUCCUGUGCUGCCUUGCCUUGAGGAAUCGUCGAUGCUCCAAUUGUGGUGCUUAUUUUGGCUAAGAAUGGA